Molecule: ribosomal RNA, 405 nt
Filed under: uncultured bacterium
Lineage: Bacteria
Description: bacterial SSU rRNA
Rfam family: Bacterial small subunit ribosomal RNA
Source: RNAcentral
UGGGGAAUCUUGCGCAAUGGGCGAAAGCCUGACGCAGCAACGCCGCGUGGGGGAUGAAGGCUUUCGGGUUGUAAACCCCUUUCAGCAGGGACGAUUAUGACGGUACCUGCAGAAGAAGGACCGGCCAACUACGUGCCAGCAGCCGCGGUAAUACGUAGGGUCCAAGCGUUGUCCGGAUUUAUUGGGCGUAAAGAGCUCGUAGGUGGUUCGCUAAGUCGGAUGUGAAAACUCGGGGCUCAACCCCGAGACGCCAUCCGAUACUGGCGUGACUUGAGUCUGGUAGGGGAGAUCGGAAUUCCUGGUGUAGCGGUGAAAUGCGCAGAUAUCAGGAGGAACACCGGUGGCGAAGGCGGAUCUCUGGGCCAGUACUGACACUGAGGAGCGAAAGCGUGGGUAGCAAACAGG